GAUGAACGCUAGCUACAGGCUUAACACAUGCAAGUCGAGGGGCAGCAUGGUCUUAGCUCGCUAAGGCCGAUGGCGACCGGCGCACGGGUGAGUAACACGUAUCCAACCUGCCGUCUACUCUUGGACAGCCUUCUGAAAGGAAGAUUAAUACAAGAUGGCAUCAUGAGUCCGCAUGUUCACAUGAUUAAAGGUAUUCCGGUAGACGAUGGGGAUGCGUUCCAUUAGAUAGUAGGCGGGGUAACGGCCCACCUAGUCUUCGAUGGAUAGGGGUUCUGAGAGGAAGGUCCCCCACAUUGGAACUGAGACACGGUCCAAACUCCUACGGGAGGCAGCAGUGAGGAAUAUUGGUCAAUGGGCGAGAGCCUGAACCAGCCAAGUAGCGUGAAGGAUGACUGCCCUAUGGGUUGUAAACUUCUUUUAUAAAGGAAUAAAGUCGGGUAUGGAUACCCGUUUGUAUGUACUUUAUGAAUAAGGAUCGGCUAACUCCGUG
Molecule: ribosomal RNA, 490 nt
Filed under: uncultured bacterium
Lineage: Bacteria
Description: partial 16S ribosomal RNA
Rfam family: Bacterial small subunit ribosomal RNA
Source: RNAcentral